GUGCCAGCAGCCGCGGUAAUACGUAGGGGGCAAGCGUUGUCCGGAAUUACUGGGCGUAAAGCGCGUGUAGGCGGGACGGUAAGUCGGACGUGAAAGGCUCGGGCUCAACCCGAGAAGGCCGUUCGAAACUGCCGUUCUUGAGGGUCGAAGAGGAGAGUGGAAUUCCUGGUGUAGCGGUGAAAUGCGUAGAGAUCAGGAGGAACACCCGUGGCGAAGGCGGCUCUCUGGUCGGCCUCUGACGCUGAGACGCGAAAGCGUGGGGAGCGAACGGGAUUAGAUACCCCCGUAGUCC
Molecule: ribosomal RNA, 292 nt
Filed under: uncultured bacterium
Lineage: Bacteria
Description: partial 16S ribosomal RNA
Rfam family: Bacterial small subunit ribosomal RNA
Source: RNAcentral